AGGCCAAGGAGGGAGGAUCACCUGAGGUCAGGAGUUCGAGACCAGCCUGGCCAACAUGGCGCUGAGACGUGUCUGGAGAGCCAGAGGACCUGGCUGAAGGAAUCGCCUGAGCCUGUCCAUCCACCAGGGUUGGGGAGAUGCUCCCAUCCAGGCCUGGAGGACCUGCUGCUCCCUGCUGCUCCUGGGGACGGAGCAAGGGCAAGGCAGCGGGAGGCUGGGAGCCCUGCCCUGCCCAUCCCUCCCGCACCAGCGCUGUCCCUGCAGACUUUGGUUCGGUGCCCCAGCCAAGAUGAGGAAGGGGCCCGGUGAAGACAGGCCUGGGGGCUGCCCCAGCAGGCUCUGGGUGUGACCUGCCUCUGGCCCGGGUCCUGGGUGGGGCCUGUGGCUGGAGUAGUGCCCCCAGGCCCUGCCCUGGGUGACCAGACGGGGAGGAAACCUGACUGGACCUGGGCAGGCAGGAUGUGUUGGCCGCAGAGAGGCGGACCAGCACCCGGUAGGACCUCCUAGGACUGGGCCUUCUUCCAGGGGGCCCCUGGCAGGCAGUUGGGGUGUUGGGCAGAAUGUGACUGGUGGCCUCACCAUGGACUUGAAUGGGACUUGGCUGGCCUCAGGAUCUUGUGCCUGGAAAUAGCCUGAGGUGGCUCAGGAGGCAGAGAAAGGGCGCCAGACCAUUCUCUGGCGGGGACCAGGGCCCAAGGCCCCGGGCUGGAAGGAGACCAAGGGGCAGCCGCCCUGGAGGACAUCAGGGCUUCCUCUUCCACCCAGUUCCCGUGUGGUUCCAUGUUUUCCCACCAGCCUGUCGGCAAAGUUGCUGCCCCAGCAUUCGGUACCUGCUUCUUCCAGAGAAAUAAAGUUAGUUUCUAUUUUAUGUUA
This is a long non-coding RNA of Rhinopithecus roxellana (golden snub-nosed monkey), 873 nucleotides long. RefSeq lists it as uncharacterized. Lineage: Eukaryota; Metazoa; Chordata; Mammalia; Primates; Cercopithecidae. The record is from RefSeq and is a predicted model, not a curated record. The transcript has 2 exons.